RNAcentral lists this long non-coding RNA (455 nucleotides) under Rattus norvegicus (Norway rat). Its description in RNAcentral is "long non-coding RNA NONRATT024305". Lineage: Eukaryota; Metazoa; Chordata; Mammalia; Rodentia; Muridae. The record is from RNAcentral.
GAAGCUGAGCCAGCGCACCGUGAGGAAAAUGUAGCUACAAAGGGAUUGAAGAACACUCAGCUUUUUCCUCGCUACGGAAGGAAGCAUCAACUCUAAAGCAUCAACUCUCUCUGGCAUGCCUGGUGCAUUCUAACGCUGGUGCAGGAUCCUUGGUGGCUUGUUUAAGCAUGGCGGAAGUCAGUGUUCAAAGAAUCCUUCUUUUGGUUAUUUCUCUGGCAAAGUGUCUGGAGGGUACAAAGUUGCUGGCACACCUUAAAAAGUGUGGUGACUUGGAAUGUGAAACUUUGAUCACCAGAGUCUUAGCCCUGAGAGAUCACACAGGACCUGACUGUCGGUACCUGAACUUCACUACGGGAGAAGAGAUAUCUGUUUAUGUGAAACUCGGAGGAGACAGAGAAGAUCUGUGGGCAGGAAGCAAAGGAAAAGACUUUGGAUUUUUUCCCAGAGAUGCAGUC